UCCCUGGUGGCUAUGAUUAGUGGCUAGCAUGCGGCACUCUCGUCGCUGUGGCCCGGGUUCGAUUCUUGGUCAGGGAA
Molecule: non-coding RNA, 77 nt
Organism: Ameiurus melas (black bullhead)
Lineage: Eukaryota; Metazoa; Chordata; Actinopteri; Siluriformes; Ictaluridae
Source: the annotation of a GenBank genome assembly